CUUAAAAAUAGUGAUAAAACAUAGUUCUUUCGCUAAUGUAAGUUGCCAAAUAUAGAUUUGAAUCGUUGCAACUGUAAGAAGGCAUCGGCAUUUAUGAGAACCUACGCUAAGUCGCGUUAAGUUUUGAGUCGAAAUACAUACCAUCAGAAAAUGCAGAUGGCUGAGAAAUUCUUCGUCGAAAGUAGAUUAAGUAAUUGUGCGGCGAUCGUGAGAUGUGUACAGGAGUUGGAUUGUGUGUUGCAAGCGAAUAGACAAAUGCUUCUGGAAGCGAGAUUAACCCUUCUUUGGGCAUUGAAUUGUGUCAAGAACAGCACAUUAUUAUGAUCAAAAUAAACACUUUUUGGAGUUUGGAGGUUCCCA
This is a long non-coding RNA of Armigeres subalbatus, 360 nucleotides long. RefSeq lists it as uncharacterized. The transcript is spliced from 2 exons. NCBI's taxonomy places the organism in Eukaryota, Metazoa, Arthropoda, Insecta, Diptera, Culicidae. The record is from RefSeq and is a predicted model, not a curated record.